UUAAAAGCCCAUCUAUGUCCCUGCACUGGAUCGUAACGGCCGCAUCGUGCUUGUGCACGUCGCCACCGGCACCCGGGUCGCGCCGCGGUCGCCGGCGCCAUCCAACAGGUCACGUCUGCCUCACCCCAUCUUCCAGGAGGCCUCCGUAAGCACCGUCGUCUUCUGCCGGAUCGUGCCGUCUCCCGCCGACGCUGUCCACAAUAGGACGCCUCCACCCUGUCUCGCCCCAUCUUCUAGCUUGCGCGAUCAGUGCGUGCAAACGCACACAUAUCAAUAUUGCAAGGUACGCAGCAGCAGCAUCACUAGGGAUAUCUUAAGCUAACUGGACUUCAUCAGUGGAUGCAAGCCUACGCAGAUCCAUCUUCUCGAACUGCUGGACGCCCUUGUGUUGCUGCUGUGAGGCGAAGAGGAGAAGUGGCCAACGAUGAGGCAGUGCAUGAGACGGAGGCGAAGGUCCAAGCUAUUGACGCAGGAUCCAGGCCGCUGGCGGAGGCCGCUGCGCCACGAGGACACUGAGAAACCGAGGCGGCUGAACGACGGCGACCACAGCUGGUUCGCUCCAAUGGUGGGUGGCGGCGGAUCCAGUCGUGCUCUUCCUCGAGCUCCCCGUCGUCGUGCUACGAAGCGCGCCCACAUCUCCCCCCGCCAGGGACUCUGAAGUUAUUCUUCUGCAAAGUGGCAAGCUCUUUAUCAGGCCAGGCUCCAGAAAAAGAGAACAAUUGGUAUGUUUCUAUUCUAAGGUUGUUUCUAAGAAGCUGAACAUAAUCUGAACCACUCAGAAUCCUGUGUACAAGUCCAGCCAUGCAAGUGCAAGUACAGGUACGUCGGCUGCUGCGUACAAAGGGUGGGUGCAAGGCAAGUAGACACAUGAAGCUAGUAUGACUACAAGGAUCUGCAGUACUGACAAAACUCAGUCUGCACAAGGUGAAAAUCAGUGUACUUCUCCCCUUGGUCAUCUCUCAAAUGAGAUGUUUUUCAUUGGAUUAGUCUGUGAGCUGAGAGUGUACCGAUUCUCUUCUAUGCUAAUCUGAAUUGCAUGUGGCUGAUUGGUUAAUUGUUGUCCAUGUGGUUUCCAUGAUUUUUGUUUGGAUGCAAAGUAGAUAAGGAAUACGAACAAGAAAUAUACUAGGGCCAAGGAAACGUGUGUUACUAGGUCAUAUCAAGGGUGGUUUCAGAAAUUAUAGGCUAUAUAUGUUUAGUGUGUGAGAUUGGGAGAUUAGUAAAAGAAAUUAACAGUUACUGUCGCUUUGUAUGGAUAGAUUAAUGUUUUUCUGUUGGCAUAAUGCAGAGGAAGUACAAAUCAUAAUGUAUAACAUAUUCAUCCCUUUUUGUCUAACAUUAAUAACAGAACAUGAAAAAAUUAUAUGUCUCAGCAGACCAGUUAUCGGUAGAACUACGUGCUUUGUGGUUUGCACCUCAAUUGACUACAUCACUUGUUGAAAAAUAAAGACAAGGUCGAAUGCAUAUUAUGAAGUAAGUACUAUCUAUCAUGGUUACUACUCCCUCCAUUCCAAAAUAUAGUGCGCCCGCGCUUCCCGAGGUCGAACUUUGACCAUAAAUUUAACGAACGAGACCGACUGCGGCGGGUGAAAAAAAUUACAUAAUUAAAAACUUCUUUCGAAUACGAAUUCACUGAUAUAAUUCUUGCUCCCGCCGCAAUCGGUCUUGGUAGUUAAAUUUACGGUCAAAGUUGAAGCACGGAGAUAGAGGAAGCACUACAUUGUGGAAUGGAGGGAGUAUAUAAUAAAGAGUGAUUAUCGGUGAAACCCUGACAAUAUUGUAUGGUGUGCAUGACGAUCCUAAAGAUAUUUAUGUUCGACAUGAUGUGUAUGAGGCCUAAAUAUAUACUCCCACGUGGGGGUACGAAUAUCUAUGCUCCCGUUGCAGCGCACGGGCAUUGUCCUAUUUAUCUAAAAAACACGCAAGGUUCCUUUUCCUGUCAAUGACCGCGUCCUGCCCUCCCUUCGGCGACCCACCCCUGCGAUCGGUUCCUUCCCCCCUUGCCUCCACGUCGAUAGCCCCUCGUGAAAAAAGCCCUCCAGGAAAAAUAGGAUCCCUCCCGAUCCAACUUUCUCUCGCUGACCAAGCCCUAUCCCCAUCCCAAUAUGGCCACUGCCAGGAUUGUUAACGUCGCCUCCCCUCCUCCAUCUUCUCAUGAGCGUCGGGACAUGGCUGUCCUCCAGCAAUGCGCCGCCCACCCACCGACGCCGCACACCUGCGACCAGGAUGUACCGCCUGUGACCCAGUGACUCGAUGCGAAGCCCCGAGCUACUUCUCCAAUGGCGUCCGCCGUUCGUCGGCUUCGUCCUGGUCUUGAAGCUCCCCUCAUCUCUCUCGCGUGGCAACGACCUUGGAUCGAGAGCAACGCCGGCCGGACCUAGGCCAGCUCCGUCGGCGACCCAGUUUUUUUAGGAAGCACAUCACUAUGUACUGCAUAUAUUAAUAUUUACAAAAGGAAAAGAAAAAACUAGAUCUAGAGUAUGUAUAGGAAAGAACCUAUAGGCUGCACAAAAUUGGCUGCCUAGGCCUGUUACAACAGCGUAUUAAGCUAAGAUUGUUCCUUGGAGGAAUGUAAAUAAGCGUUAUGUGUUGGUCAUGGCAAGAAAGAACAAGUAAGAUUAAAACCAAAUAAGCCUCCUACCAGGUUUUCAUUCGGGUUAGAAGAUAAAGUUGUGUGUAUUAUUUCAGAAAAACCGUGAAGCAGCAGGUCUAGCAACCCUUAAUGUCCUUCUUUGCAUUUGCAAACACUUGGCCUGAUUGUUUUUAAAGAUUGAUGUGUUUCUCGUGGUCCAAGUGCUCCAGCAGCCAUGGAUGAUCAACUCAUGGUGAAAAGGUUUCUUCAGAGAGCCCUUUAGAGCAAUGAUCCAUUGACUGGCAGAAGACAAAUUGGUAUGUGAUCCAGGGUGGGGCAUAAAUAUUUCUAGCAAAGCUUUCCAAACGACAACCAGGUAAUGUUCAUGUGGCUAUUCAAAGUGAAAUUAGUUGGCUUGAUUUGAUUCUCUUGGAAAACUAAUUAGUCACAGCUUUGACUCGAAACGGCCACAACAUGAGUGUUGUAGUUCAUCAACUCUACCAUGACUUCCAUAAGCGAGGUCUGCUAACAGGCCAAUUACAUGCUAUUGUAAUUGGGGUACACAAGAUGGCGAGAAGGGCCGCUGACGACACAAGUGCAUUGGGUGGCCGACAGCCUUAUUCAUGGGCGUCAGUGGCAAAUCUAUCACAUCUUGUGAGUAUAUUGCAUGCGUAGUCCUAACAUAUACGCAUGUUCCUUUCGAGCGGUUGAAUUUUUAGAUGCUAUUAUUCAACUAAUGAUGAUGAUGUAACACGUACACUUCUCUAAUUUGGCUUCACUUUCACUGAAUUAUUCCAAACUGUGCACUGACAUUUUUUAUGGAUCUCACAAACUGUGCACUGACAUUGGAACUUGAACAUGGCACAUCUCAUGAGGAGAGGAAAAGAUGACUCACAUGCUCUGUCGACAAGUAGUGGGUUAGCAUUGUGGCAGAUCAUGGAUCUACAAGAUGUAUCUGCCCCUUCCCUUAUACAUCUUUGUUUUGACUAGGGGGAGCCGGCGGGCAGGAGCGGAACUGGACGAAGCUCCGGUCAAAGAUCGCUGUGUUGCAUGUAAUAGUAUGGAUUUGAGGUAUCCGGAUGUGGAAUGCAUUUUAGAGGGGUGACCGGUCACUAUCCACGGACACGCCCAGGCGCGUCCGCAGACAUUUGAAGGGUCGGAUUUUGCCAAGUCCGGUUGUAGAUUCUCUUAGUGGAGCAAGAACAUGUUGACGUUUGUUGGGUUGUGGUGUAGGUUGAGUUAUGGACUUAAAAUGCAUGAGCCUUUGCACUGGUCGUCGUUGUGGACUAACGAAUUGCUUAUUGCCUCUAGGUAUGAACAUGUCUGGAUCCUUCUCUUCUUUGGAUCCAUUGAUUUUUGUGCAUAUAGAAAAGAGAAGUCAAGAGAAAGCACUUCAAAACUAAUGGGCCAAGAAAGAAGAUUGAUUUUGUGGAUGGUUAUAAGUUGAGAAAUAUUUUUUUAUUACAUUUGCUAAAGUACCGUGCAAAUGAAGCUUAAGACAACAUACCUGACGUUGUAAGGGUAAUUCAUAACAAGCAUCAACUAACAAUAGUAACAGGAGUGCAGCAAGUGGUUUACACAAAGAGAGAGAAUGCCGGCAGCUGGAAUUCUGGACCUAGAAAAGCUACGUCAGAGUUACCUAUUCUGCAC
Molecule: long non-coding RNA, 4222 nt
Organism: Triticum aestivum (bread wheat)
Lineage: Eukaryota; Viridiplantae; Streptophyta; Magnoliopsida; Poales; Poaceae
Exons: 5
Source: RefSeq, a predicted model, not a curated record